This 1510-nucleotide ribosomal RNA is filed under the name uncultured Bordetella sp. RNAcentral describes it as "partial 16S-23S ribosomal RNA intergenic spacer". It matches the Rfam family "Bacterial small subunit ribosomal RNA". Lineage: Bacteria; Pseudomonadati; Pseudomonadota; Betaproteobacteria; Burkholderiales; Alcaligenaceae. The record is from RNAcentral.
GGUUUGAUUAUGGCUCAGAUUAACGUUGUGACGCUUUCAUACAUGCAAGUCGAACGGGUAAAAAUGGACCGGUCCGGUGGCGAGCGGCAACGGGUGAGCAAAAUGUAUCGGAACGUGCCUAGUAGCGGGGAUAACUAUUGCGAAAGCGUAGCUAAUACCGCAUAAUAGCCCUCUGGGAAAGCGGGGGACCUUCUUGGGCCUUCGCACCAUAGCAAAUGACACGAUUAGCUAGUUGUGGGGCAUGGCUCACCAUAUGAUGAUCCGUAGCUGGUUUGAGGACGUGACCAGCCACAUCAGAUCUGAGACACGGCCCAGACUCCUACGGAGGCAGGGGAAUUCUUGGAUUACCGGGGGGAAACCCCUGAUCCAGCCACCUUGCGUGGUAAGGAUGAAGGCCCUUCAAGAAAGCACUUUUGCAGGAGAACGCGGCACGGACAGCCACUCCUGCAACCGACGGUACUGCAGGAAUACACCGCUAACGGCCGCCAGCAGCCGCGGUAAUACGUAGGGGUGCAAGCGUUAAUCGGAAUUACUGGGCGUAAAGCGUAUAUGCAGGUUCAAAAGAAAGAUGUGAAAUCCCAGAGCUUAACUUUGGAACUGUAUUUUUAAUCCAUUGAAAGCCGAGCGUCAGAGUAGUGGAAUUCGGGCGCAGUGAAAUGUGUGUAGAGAGAUAACACCGAUGCGAAGGCAGCCUCCUGGGAUAACAUCACGCUCAUGCACUAAAGUGGAGCAACAGAUUAGAUACCUCUGGGUGUGAAUCACGCCCAGAAUGAUGCUCAAUUUGAUGUUGGGGCCUUUCGCCUUGCAGCGCAGCUAACGCGUGAAGUUGACCGCGCCUGUAGUACGGUCGUGCGAAUAAAACUCAAAGGAACGACGCGGGACCGCGCUGGCGCAGGGAUGUUGAUGUGAUUGGGCACCGAUGCAACGCGCGAAAACCUCAUCACCACUUGACAUGUGUCUGGAAUCCUGAAGAGAUUUCGGGAGUGCUCGCGGGUAAAGAGAAUCGGAACACAGGAAGCAAGCGGCUGGUCGUCAUCGUGUCGAUAAAGGGGUUAAGUCCCGCAACGAGCGCAACCUUUGCCACAGUUGCUACGAAAGCGGGCACUUCAGGACGAGAUCGCCAGUGACAAACUGGAGGAAGGUGGGGAUGACGUCAAGUCCUCAUGGCCCUUAUGGGUAGGGCUUCACACACGUCAUACAAUGGUCGUGACAGAGGGUCGCCAACCGCGAGGUGGCUUUCAAUCCCAGAAACCCGAUUCGAGUCCGGAUCGUGCCCGCAACCCGACUGCGUGAAGUCGGAAUCGCUAGCAAUCGCGAUCAGCAUGUCGCGGCAAUACGUUCCGGCCUUGUACACACCGCUCGUCAUGACCGCGGAGUGGGCUUUACCAGAAGUAGUUAGCCUAACCGUAGAGGCGAUUGCCUUACGCGGUAGGAUUCAUGACUGGGUAAGUCGUAAUAGCGGCAGCUCGAUGUACCGGAUGCUCCCAGGAGCAAUACGUAACUGAAAUCG